This 467-nucleotide ribosomal RNA is filed under the name uncultured bacterium. Its description in RNAcentral is "partial 16S ribosomal RNA". It matches the Rfam family "Bacterial small subunit ribosomal RNA", at positions 28 to 507 of the family's 1533-position model. The record is from RNAcentral.
GACGAACGCUGGCGGCGCGCCUAACACAUGCAAGUCAACCGAGUCAAUCGGAGCUUGCUUUUCUUGACUUAGUGGCGAACGGGGGAGUAACCCUGGAGUCACCUUCCCUGGAGGGGGGGGCUACAAUUGGAAACUACUGCUUAUACCCCAAAAACCCACGGAGUUGCAUGGAGCUGCGGUAAAAGGAGUUAUUCGCUCUAGGAUGAGCUCGCGUCCCAUUAGCUAGUUGGUGAGGUAACGGCCCACCAAGGCGACGAUGGGUAGCCGGACUGAGAGGGUGAGCCGCCACACUGGGACUGAGACACGGCCCAGACUCCUACGGGAGGCAGCAGUGGGGGAUAUUGCACAAUGGGGGAAACCCUGAUGCAGCGACGCCGCGUGAGGGAUGAAGGUUUUAGGGUUGUAAACUCCUGUCGUCAGGGAUGAUAAUGACGGUACCUAACGAGAAAGCACCGGCUAACUACGUG